This 497-nucleotide ribosomal RNA is filed under the name uncultured bacterium. RNAcentral's name for it is "partial 16S ribosomal RNA". It matches the Rfam family "Bacterial small subunit ribosomal RNA", at positions 28 to 507 of the family's 1533-position model. The record is from RNAcentral.
GAUGAACGCUGGCGGCGUGCCUAAUACAUGCAAGUCGAGCGAACAGACGAGGAGCUUGCUCCUCUGACGUUAGCGGCGGACGGGUGAGUAACACGUGGAUAACCUACCUAUAAGACUGGGAUAACUUCGGGAAACCGGAGCUAAUACCGGAUAAUAUAUUGUACCGCAUGGUUCAAUAGUGAAAGACGGUUUUGCUGUCACUUAUAGAUGGAUCCGCGCCGCAUUAGCUAGUUGGUAAGGUAACGGCUUACCAAGGCGACGAUGCGUAGCCGACCUGAGAGGGUGAUCGGCCACACUGGAACUGAGACACGGUCCAGACUCCUACGGGAGGCAGCAGUAGGGAAUCUUCCGCAAUGGGCGAAAGCCUGACGGAGCAACGCCGCGUGAGUGAUGAAGGUCUUCGGAUCGUAAAACUCUGUUAUUAGGGAAGAACAAAUGUGUAAGUAACUAUGCACGUCCUGACGGUACCUAAUCAGAAAGCCACGGCUAACUACGUG